UAGCUCAGUCGGUAGAGCGCUGGCCUUUUAAGCCAGUGGUCGUGGGUUCGGGCCCCAC
RNAcentral lists this transfer RNA (58 nucleotides) under Phytophthora infestans T30-4. It matches the Rfam family "tRNA", at positions 8 to 63 of the family's 71-position model. From Rfam's summary of the family: Transfer RNA (tRNA) molecules are approximately 80 nucleotides in length. The record is from Rfam by way of RNAcentral. Lineage: Eukaryota; Oomycota; Peronosporomycetes; Peronosporales; Peronosporaceae.